AUGUUAAACAUACACACACAUACCUGUUACACUGCAGGUGUUCAGUGCAUUAAGUGACUUCACUGGGAAUCUGUCUGGACUUUAGUUAGCAUGAAGUCAAAACCUGCUUUCAGGUGUGGCCUCAAAACGGGCUGAUACACAGUGGCUCAUUUCUGGAGCUUUCAAUUACCAGUUAUUCCUCACAUCUCCCUAUGUGCCAGGAACCAUUCUGGACCUGAAUGGCAUUGGUACAGGGUCUGUGUCCAGAGGUUGGAAUGGUUGCCUCACUGUUUAAGAUUCAGGAUCAGCCCCUCCAAGUCCUCUUCCUACUGGGGACCUUAAGGUUUCAGCGAGAGGGUGGUGGAGCAGGGUUAAGGGUGCCCUGAGGGUCACUGGCAAAUAGCCUUGCAAGUAGCUACAGGCCCAGGAGCCAUUCCAGCCUUGAGCCUGUGGGCUUGUGGGAAGGAAUACUGCUCUCAUUUUUCUUUGGCUUCUUUGACAUCCUGGGAGUGGGAGGGGAGGAAAGGAAGAAGGUGAGUUCAGCCAGCAGCCAAGGGAGCUGUUUGCACCUCCCACCACUCUGUCCCUCCCCAGACAUGAUGGAGUCCUGUCUGGACUUGGCCAAACAGGGGAACAGAGACUUGCUUGAGAGAAAGGGGCGGGAUGGAAGACAAGUCCACAGAACUUGCUUUUCCCAGAUGUCUCAGUGCACCCAAGUGGCCUCCUUCCUCCAAAUCCUAAAUAAUCCAGCCUAGAGCCCUGGAGAGGAACUUCCCAAUGGGGAGGGAAGCCGAAGUAAUCUCCUGGGGGUAGUGAUUUGUGGGGAAGGAUGCUUACUCACCCCAGCCCUCUCCUGGCAAAAAGAAGUGUGGGACAGAGUGACCGCCACAGAAAUCUGCCUCCUGAUGACAGUCUUGUGAAAAACUCCCACCUUGGACACCUUCCCCUCCCAUCCCCAUCAGACCCCAGGCCCUUCUCCUCCAUCAAAUCUGUUCCACCCCAUGAGGCAGAUGUGGUAGGACUAGGGAUAGUCUGAGUUGGGACCACCGUCCUUCUUUCUUUUCAAAGCUUACCCAUCCUAUUAGAAGGGCCCUGGGAAUUUGGGCAGCAAAAUGAGAGUGCUGGUCCCACAUGCCCUUGCUCUCUGCCCCAUCUCCCCUUCUCCUCCAAGAUCAUCGGAUUUCCUGAAGAUUCCAAAUCUUUUGUCCAGCUCUGCCACACAGCAAAACGUGUCACACCCCUGCAGAAACCUUCCAGUAGUUUUCAAUCAUUCUUGGAAGAAAAUCCAAACUGUUCCCUUUGUCUAAAAUGCCCUUCUCUCAGAUCUUGGCACGGUGGGCUCCUUGCCAGUCUGGAUUCUGUACAAAUGUCACCACGUCUUCAGGAACCCUUUCCCUGACAACCUAGAGAUCAGGAAAGACCCACCGUCUUGGCCAUCUUCUGCCUUUCACCAUGCUUUAUCUUUACCUAGUACUUAACAGUAUCUGAAAUUAUAUUUAUUUACCAGUGUACUUGCGAGGCAGCUGUGAAAUGCAUGGGAAGUGGUUUAAACUAACACUUCCUGGAUGUGUGACCUUGGGUGAAUCUGUUAACCUCUCUGAGCCUUGGUUUCCUCAUCUGUAAAAUGGGGAAAGCAGUUGUACCUGUAUCACAGGGUUGUCAUGAAGAUCCAGGAAGUGAUGCUCAGCACAGUAUAAGGACUCAAUAAAUGUAGGCUGUUAUUAUUAUGAUAACAGUUAAGAGUGACAGUGUAUGGUUACCAUCCCCAUGGCCCCAAACAGUACUGAAUAAAACAGAAACUAAACCUUUACCUAUUAUGUGGGAAGCACACUCCCACCAGCUGUCUUGUGGGCGCCAUGCCAUUUUGGAAAUGACCAAGAAUGCCAUGUGCAGCGAGUACCAGGAAGAGCACUUGACAGAGAGUCAAAAGCCAUUGGUUCUGGACUCAGUGUUGUUACCACUUCACCUCAGGACUUGGGCUGGUCACCUUUUUUCACUGGGCCUCAGGCUCUUCCAAGAAAAUAAUGGAUUGAAGCAACUGAUUGCUGUGCUCUCUGCCAGCUUCCAGGGGUUCUGCUUUGAGUCCUGUGCUCUCUUUAUCCACCACAUAGCCUUCAAGGUUGGGGAGACACGUGGUGCCUUCAACUUCCCUCAACCUUGUUUCCUAACAGGCCAAAGCUGCCGCGAAGAGAGUUGAACCCAGGGAAAACAUUCUUUGUUUAAACCUUUGAACCCAGAGACAAAAGUCUCAGCCCUGGACACCAGAUCUUCUUUUCACCCACAUCACUCUCCCUGCUUCACCCUCAUCUGCUGUCAUAUCUGAGCCCUGAGGAAGGAGAGCCAGCCCUCACUUCCCCUACAGGCAUGAAGGCUUUGGCCUCAGUUAUUCUCAGACAUGCAGACAGGGUGUGUGUGUAGCUGCAUGUACACAGAUGUGUGUGCCUGUAUGUACUUGCGGGUAUCUGUAGCUAUAUUUUCACUUGUUUCCAUUUUUCCCUCAGGAGCGGCAAGACUGAGAUUAACUGAAGGAGAAGAUUGUACAUCCCAGGGCUGAAAAUGCUGUCUGCCCCUUGCUGGAGCUGCCGAUCUGUCCCGUGGGGUCAUUCUGGGGUGCUGGGAAUGGCCUAAGGGCUUCACGGAGUGCUGGGGUUGACUUCUAGAGACAAGCAAAACCCUCAGAGGGCAGAUAAUUAGCAGUGCACAAGAGAUACAGCCAACUCAGAAAAACCCAUCCUUCCUAGCUGUGUGACCUUGAGCAACAGGUGCAUCUGCCAUCCUACACCGAAUUUGGCUUUCUACAGGACCAUGGAGGUCUUCAUAGAGCCUGGCCCAAGGGAUCUACUCUCUUCUGAUGGAUAGUGCUCUGUGACAUGACCUGAUGCUGCUCCUCAGUGGGACCUGUACCUGUUAACAAGUACAUGCUUACAUGUGUGUGUGUUGGGGGUCACCUCAUCGGCCAAAGCAUAACUACCCCUUGCAGGUGAGAGUGUCUUGUAAGCAAGAUGAGAUUUUCCUGGUGGGAUUUCUGGGGAGUACAGGACAAGUGGAUGAGCCCUAUGAACCAGGCAUGUUGAUCCUCCAAGCUGAUAUUAUAAGGGCUAUGAAGAGGACUCCCACCCACCCUCCCAGAACCACACUGGGCACCCUGCAGAUUUGAGGGUGGGCAGAGAAGAUCUGGAGAGGAUGGAUAUGGUCUCAGGAACAUCCAGCUCACUGCAUGGAUGCCUCCAGCGCCAAGUGGGGCAGAGAUGAUGCUGGGAGUGGAGUGAUAGAAGCUGGCCUAGGAUCUAGAGAAGAGGAAGAGAAGGAUAUGGAGAACCAGUCUCUUGGAAGUGGAGGAGGGGAGAGAUAUCUAGGCUGCAUUGGGUAAGGGGAACACCCUGAGCUGGGACCACUGGCCUGAAGGUAGAGAAGGAAGAGGAGAUUUUGAUCAGAUUGGGGAACCCUGGUCUUGGUGCCCAAUGUCCCAGCUUAGCUUCGGGCCAUGGUGGGGCUCUCUUGGAAUGAUGGCUUCCCAUUCCAGGGCUUCUCCUGUUCCUCCAUUUGACCUGUGCCCUGUGUUACCUCAGUUCCUUGCUCACUGGAUGACUCCCAAAGCACGGAGCUUGCUCCUGGCAGGAGAUCUGACCUGCUCCACCGCUCCAGCUCUCACUGCACCCACUUUAUGCUUCUAGGGUUUUCUCUUUUGCCAAGAAGCAGUUGAUCUCCAGCAUCCAUCCUCAGACCUGCCACUUUUAAGUUGCAUCAGGAUACUCGCUGCUUCCUGCGGCGCCUGGCACAUCUUUGGCGACAGCAGUGUGGAAGGCCUCUUUCUCUGCCAAGUUCACUUCCUGCUGGACUACCUGGUUCCUGCUUGUGGCCCCUCCAUCCCUCUAGCCUAGAACCAACCCAAUUCCAGAUCUUUGCUCAGCUCAUUGGUGCCAGAGCAACACGCCUUUCUUCAGCCUAGGAUGCAGAUAGGAAACGUGCUGGGCAUUUGGGGGUUUUCUUGGGUUAAGGACUGACACAGUGCAUGGCAGAGAGGAGCUUGUCAGGGGUAGGGUGGGGGCUGGGUCCUAAUUCCUAGGGCUCUGCUAGCAGCCCAGGUUUUGGUCUCCUAAAACUCAGUAUCUAAGGCCUCAGUUUCUUGAGCACGCUUCCUGGUUGCCAUGGUUGCCUGAUGCUUUGGACAUGAUCAGUGACCAGCUGUGUGGCCACUCCCUGGACCUUGAGAUGUUGGAGGCCGUUGGAUGGGCAUUGCUGGACAGAGACCCUCACCAUUAACUUCUUCACACAAGACUUCCCCUAAUGGCCCCUCCCUCUGUGCUGAUAUGGCCCCCAUCCCUUUCCCUACAUGGAGGGACCCCAGUGAGUCAUUCCUCUAUAAUGCCAACACCAGGCUUCCCUUCCCAGUGCCUCCAAUACACCACCUGUCUAUCUCCCGCGUCCCACUCUUCCUUCUCCUGUCUUUACCUGUUUCCCUUGGUAACUCUCUGGAGCCUGGGGAAGCCUUCUCAGGACAAGAUGGUCCUUCAUGACCAGAUCCUUCUCACCAAGGGGACUCCAAUCUCAGCCCCCCAAGGGAUGGGGAUGCUGCCAAGGUGAGAGUGUGGGUGAGAUCCUGGGGAACACGGUGACCCAAGCCCGAGGUGCUGCCCAGACUUUUCGCCCAACUGUAUUAGUUUUCUGGGGCUGCCAUAACAAGUUACCACACACUCAAUGCCUUAAAACAACAUAAAUUCAUUCUCUCAUGGUUCUGGAGGUCAGAAGUCUGAAGUUAGUUUCCCUGAGCCAAAAUCAAGGUGCAAGGAGAGCUGUGCUCCCUCCAGAGGCUCUGGAGGAGAAUCCAUUCUUUGCUUUCGUCCAGCCUCUGGUGGCCACUCUGAUCUCUCUCACAUUGUCUCCUCUUUGCUGCCUCCCUCUUUUAAGGAGACUUGGGAUUGGGCCUCAUGUCUCUGGGAGGUCAUUAUUCAGCCUCCUACACCACCUUUCACCCAAAUGCACACACUCACAGUUGUUGAUCGCUUGGUCUAGGAGCUGUGGAAAUCAGCCAGGAAAGGAGUUGAGAAGUAGGAGAGGGCCCAGGACUAGCCCUAGGCCAAAGGCUUAGUAGCUUCUGGGUGGGCCUACCUGGGAGUGGGAGGGGGGAGCAGCAAAGUCUGGGGGGAACUGCCACAUUUCUCCCCAAGUUGUACAUCCCAAAUAGUAUUUGCCCAAAGACCUCUUUCAUGCCACCUGCCCCACUUGCAGGUUGGGAAGCACUAGGGGUUAUGGGUAAGAGCCUGGGUAGUCAGGCCCUGGGGCCAAGGUAGGCUGAGGCAUCACCAUUUACCAGUUGUGGUUCUCAAAAUGUGGGCUAGGGCCAGCAGCAUUAACAUCAUCUGGGAGUUUAUUAGAAAUGCAAUUUCUUGGGGGGAACGCCUGGGUGGCU
This is a long non-coding RNA of Herpailurus yagouaroundi (jaguarundi), 5389 nucleotides long. RefSeq lists it as uncharacterized. Lineage: Eukaryota; Metazoa; Chordata; Mammalia; Carnivora; Felidae. The record is from RefSeq and is a predicted model, not a curated record. The transcript is spliced from 4 exons.